This 468-nucleotide ribosomal RNA is filed under the name uncultured bacterium. RNAcentral describes it as "partial 16S ribosomal RNA". It matches the Rfam family "Bacterial small subunit ribosomal RNA", at positions 28 to 507 of the family's 1533-position model. The record is from RNAcentral.
GACGAACGCUGGCGGCGUGCUUAACACAUGCAAGUCGAACGGAAAGGCCCUGCUUUUGUGGGUUGCUCGAUUGGCGCACGGGUGAGUAACACGUGAGUAACCUGCCCUUGACUUUGGGAUAACUUCAGGAAACUGGGGCUCAUAUCGGAUAGGAUCUCCUGCUGCAUGGUGGGGGUUGGUAAGUUUCGGCGGUUGGGGAUGGACUCGCGGCUUAUCAGCUUGUUGGGGGGGUAGGGGCUUACCAAGGCUUUGACGGGUAGCCGGCCUGAGAGGGUGACCGGCCACAUUGGGACUGAGAGACGGCCCAGACUGCUACGGGAGGCAGCGGUGGGGAAUAUUGCAGAAUGGGCGGAAGCCUGAGGCAGCAACGCCGCGUGCGGGAUGACGGCCUUCGGGGUGUAAACCGAUGUGGCCGGUGACGAAGCGUGAGUGACGGUAAUGGGUAAAGAAGCACCGGCUAACUACGUG